AGAGUUUGAUCAUGGCUCAGGAUGAACGCUAGCGGCAGGCUUAACACAUGCAAGUCGAGGGGUAACGGGAGUGCUUGCACUCGCCGACGACCGGCGCACGGGUGCGUAACGCGUAUACAAUCUACCCUUUACUGGGGAAUAGCCCAGAGAAAUUUGGAUUAAUGCCCCAUAGUACAUAUAUAUGGCAUCAUAUUUAUGUUAAAGGCUACGGUAAAGGAUGAGUAUGCGUACCAUUAGUUAGUUGGUAAGGUAACGGCUUACCAAGACUGCGAUGGUUAGGGGCCCUGAGAGGGGGAUCCCCCACACUGGUACUGAGACACGGACCAGACUCCUACGGGAGGCAGCAGUGAGGAAUAUUGGACAAUGGGCGAGAGCCUGAUCCAGCCAUGCCGCGUGUAGGAAGACUGCCCUAUGGGUUGUAAACUACUUUUACAUGGGAAGAAUAAGGGUCACGUGUGGCCUUAUGACGGUACCAUGAGAAUAAGGACCGGCUAACUCCGUGCCAGCAGCCGCGGUAAUACGGAGGGUCCGAGCGUUAUCCGGAAUUAUUGGGUUUAAAGGGUCCGUAGGCGGGCCGUUAAGUCAGGGGUGAAAGUUUGUGGCCCAACCAUAAAAUUGCCUUUGAUACUGACGGUCUUGAGUUAUAGUGAAGUUGCCGGAAUAUGUAGUGUAGCGGUGAAAUGCAUAGAUAUUACAUAGAACACCGAUUGCGAAGGCAGGUGACUAACUAUAUACUGACGCUGAUGGACGAAAGCGUGGGGAGCGAACAGGAUUAGAUACCCUGGUAGUCCACGCCGUAAACGAUGGAUACUAGCUGUUCGGUCUUCGGACUGAGCGGCCAAGCGAAAGUGAUAAGUAUCCCACCUGGGGAGUACGUUCGCAAGAAUGAAACUCAAAGGAAUUGACGGGGGCCCGCACAAGCGGUGGAGCAUGUGGUUUAAUUCGAUAAUACGCGAGGAACCUUACCUGGGCUCGACAAUUUAUGUGCAGUCUGUAUCAAGCUUUAGAGAUAGAGUUUUCUUCGGACGGAUCACAAGGUGCUGCAUGGUUGUCGUCAGCUCGUGCCGUGAGGUGUCAGGUUAAGUCCUAUAACGAGCGCAACCCCUGUUGUUAGUUGCCAGCACAUAAUGGUGGGGACUCUAACAAGACUGCCGGUGCAAACCGUGAGGAAGGUGGGGAUGACGUCAAAUCAUCACGGCCCUUACGUCCUGGGCUACACACGUGCUACAAUGGCCGGUACAGCGGGCAGCCACUGCGCAAGCAGGAGCGAAUCCACAAAACCGGUCACAGUUCGGAUCGGGGUCUGCAACUCGACCCCGUGAAGCUGGAAUCGCUAGUAAUCGGAUAUCAGCCAUGAUCCGGUGAAUACGUUCCCGGGCCUUGUACACACCGCCCGUCAAGCCAUGGAAGCCGGGAGUGCCUGAAGUCCGUCACCGUAAGGAGCGGCCUAGGGCAAAAUUGGUAACUAGGGCUAAGUCGUAACAAGGUAAC
This 1491-nucleotide ribosomal RNA is filed under the name uncultured prokaryote. RNAcentral describes it as "partial 16S ribosomal RNA". It matches the Rfam family "Bacterial small subunit ribosomal RNA". The record is from RNAcentral.